UAUUCCAGCAUAGCUCGCACAUAGUUAGCAUGACCCCUCUCAGCUAACUGACAAAGAACGUCCAGGAGGUCAAUACACAACCAUGCUUGAUUUGCACAUCCAGCUUGAAGCUUGUGUCCAUUAUCUGCAUCCAUGUACGCCUGCCAUAGUAGUUUAUUAAAAAUUACCACUGAGAGAUCAUUCUGUCAAUUAAUUAUGAAUGAAAGCAGAAAGUAGCAAGCAGAGAUCUC
This 230-nucleotide long non-coding RNA is filed under the name Linum usitatissimum (flax). Its description in RNAcentral is "long non-coding RNA (LUSI_LNC000359)". The record is from RNAcentral. Lineage: Eukaryota; Viridiplantae; Streptophyta; Magnoliopsida; Malpighiales; Linaceae.